GAUGAACGCUGGCGGCGUGCCUAAUACAUGCCAGUCGAGCGAACAGACCAGGAGCUUGCUCCUCUGACGUUAGCCGCGGACGGGUGAGUCACACGUGGAUCCCCUACCUAUCAGACUGGGAUCACUUCGGGACACCGGCGCUAAUCCCGGAUAAUAUAUUGCACCGCAUGGUUCAAUAGUGAAAGACGGUUUUGCUGUAACUUCUAGAUGGAUCCGCGCCGCAUUAGCUAGUUGGUAAGUUAACGGCUUACCUCGGGAACCGUGCGUAGCCGACCUGAGAGGGUGAUCGGCCACACUGGAACUGAGCCACGGUCCAUACUCCUACGGAAGGCAGCAGUAUGGAAUCUGCCGCAAUGGGCGAAAGCCUGACGGAGCAACGCCGCGUGAGUGAUGAAGGUCUUCGGAUCGUAAAACUCUGUUAUUAGGUAAGAACAAAUGUGUAAGUAACUAUGCACGUCGUGACGGUACCUAAUCAGAAAGCCACGGCUAACUACGUG
RNAcentral lists this ribosomal RNA (497 nucleotides) under uncultured bacterium. Its description in RNAcentral is "partial 16S ribosomal RNA". It matches the Rfam family "Bacterial small subunit ribosomal RNA", at positions 28 to 507 of the family's 1533-position model. The record is from RNAcentral.